Cyanistes caeruleus (blue tit) is the source of this 1035-nucleotide non-coding RNA. The record is from RefSeq and is a predicted model, not a curated record. Lineage: Eukaryota; Metazoa; Chordata; Aves; Passeriformes; Paridae.
GGAAAGCCACUCCUUCAAUAGGGAAUUGUUAUACACAGUCCUGCAGUACAAAAAUGCUCGAUGUAGCUGUAAUUUUUUGCCUAAUACUGGGUAUGAAACAGAAGCUAAACAAUGGAAGCCAUUUUGUGUAAAUUGUCCUCUAAAUCUGUAUAAGGAUACCCUUUGUUUCUAAUUUUUCCUAGAGGCAAGUGUUCAGCUGUUGAGGAUGGGAAACUUGCUGUCUUUGUCAUCCCCAUUGUUAAGCUUGCAAACUUAAAUUUAUUUUUCAAUUCUUUUUUCAUUAAACACUUCUUUAUUAAUUCAGGAUCUGUCUUAGUAAGCAUAAAUCAUUAAUGAUAGCUAAUUUUUCUUCUAUUAUAUGUCUUUUUAACCCAGGGUUCCCAUAAGAUAAGUAGCAAAAAGCACUUAGAGGAGCAAGUAAUUAGAUUUCAUGCCUAUAUUAUUUCAUAUCUGCAGAAUCACAGUUUAUGCACAGACUUCAUUUGAAGCCAUUUAUAACAGAAUUCUGACCUGCUUUCAGCUGGCAUUUCUUUCUUGUCAUUUCCACUUGAGUAAUGUUACAGGGAAGGUGCUGCACACAUGUGAAAAACAAAGGAGCAGUGGUUUUUUCAAUUGUUGCAAAAUGUCUGGAUUUUAAGUUUUACUUAGAAUUUAUUCUUCAAGCCUGAAAUAGACUUUUUCUGCUAUAUUGUAUUAUGGGUUUCAUUUUGGUUUUGUUUCAGACUCUACCCUUGGUGACACACCUGAAGAUGAUGCUGCAUCUCCGCUCGAAGAAGAAAACGUUAUUAAGGAGUCUUUGCAAGAGUUAGAAGAGAAGCAGACUUCAUCAAAUGUGACUUCCCGACCAACUACAUCUUCUAGAAGGAGGACACACAGUGAAUCUGGAAAUCUUCCCUUUAAACCACUAUUCUUGUUAAAUUGGGAUGGUAGCGGCUCCUUUGGAGCCACUUAAAUAGUGUGUAGAGACCUUGUGGUGAUACAGUAUCAGUACGGCAUGGAGCCAUGACAACUAAAUGAGGACAACGAUGGACAGGA